CCGGAAGGGGAGUGAAAGAGAUCCUGAAACCGUGUGCCUACAAAUAGUCAGAGCCCGUUAAUGGGUGAUGGCGUGCCUUUUGUAGAAUGAACCGGCGAGUUACGAUCCCGUGCAAGGUUAAGUUGAAGAGACGGAGCCGCAGCGAAAGCGAGUCUGAAUAGGGCGUUUAGUACGUGGUCGUAGACCCGAAACCAGGUGAUCUACCCAUGUCCAGGGUGAAGUUCAGGUAACACUGAAUGGAGGCCCGAACCCACGCACGUUGAAAAGUGCGGGGAUGAGGUGUGGGUAGCGGAGAAAUUCCAAUCGAACCUGGAGAUAGCUGGUUCUCCCCGAAAUAGCUUUAGGGCUAGCCUUAAGUGUAAGAGUCUUGGAGGUAGAGCACUGAUUGAACUAGGGGUCCUCAUCGGAUUACCGAAUUCAGUCAAACUCCGAAUGCCAAUGACUUAUCCUUAGGAGUCAGACUGCGAGUGAUAAGAUCCGUAGUCAAGAGGGAAACAGCCCAGAUCGCCAGCUAAGGUCCCAAAGUGUGUAUUAAGUGGAAAAGGAUGUGGAGUUGCUUAGACAACUAGGAUGUUGGCUUAGAAGCAGCCACCAUUUAAAGAGUGCGUAAUAGCUCACUAGUCGAGUGACUCUGCGCCGAAAAUGUACCGGGGCUAAAUACACCACCGAAGCUGCGAAUUGAUACCAAUGGUAUCAGUGGUAGGGGAGCGUUCUAAGUGCAGUGAAGUCAGACCGGAAGGACUGGUGGAGCGCUUAGAAGUGAGAAUGCCGGUAUGAGUAGCGAAAGACGGGUGAGAAUCCCGUCCACCGAAUGCCUAAGGUUUCCUGAGGAAGGCUCGUCCGCUCAGGGUUAGUCAGGACCUAAGCCGAGGCCGACAGGCGUAGGCGAUGGACAACAGGUUGAUAUUCCUGUACCACCUCUUUAUCGUUUGAGCAAUGGAGGGACGCAGAAGGAUAGAAGAAGCGUGCGAUUGGUUGUGCACGUCCAAGCAGUUAGGCUGAUAAGUAGGCAAAUCCGCUUAUCGUGAAGGCUGAGCUGUGAUGGGGAAGCUCCUUAUGGAGCGAAGUCUUUGAUUCCCCGCUGCCAAGAAAAGCUUCUAGCGAGAUAAAAGGUGCCUGUACCGCAAACCGACACAGGUAGGCGAGGAGAGAAUCCUAAGGUGUGCGAGAGAACUCUGGUUAAGGAACUCGGCAAAAUGACCCCGUAACUUCGGGAGAAGGGGUGCUUUCUUAACGGAAAGCCGCAGUGAAUAGGCCCAAGCGACUGUUUAGCAAAAACACAGGUCUCUGCGAAGCCGUAAGGCGAAGUAUAGGGGCUGACACCUGCCCGGUGCUGGAAGGUUAAGGAGAGGGGUUAGCGUAAGCGAAGCUCUGAACUGAAGCCCCAGUAAACGGCGGCCGUAACUAUAACGGUCCUAAGGUAGCGAAAUUCCUUGUCGGGUAAGUUCCGACCCGCACGAAAGGUGUAACGAUUUGGGCACUGUCUCAACCAGAGACUCGGUGAAAUUAUAGUACCUGUGAAGAUGCAGGUUACCCGCGACAGGACGGAAAGACCCCGUGGAGCUUUACUGUAGCCUGAUAUUGAAUUUUGGUACAGUUUGUACAGGAUAGGCGGGAGCCAUUGAAACCGGAGCGCUAGCUUCGGUGGAGGCGCUGGUGGGAUACCGCCCUGACUGUAUUGAAAUUCUAACCUACGGGUCUUAUCGACCCGGGAGACAGUGUCAGGUGGGCAGUUUGACUGGGGCGGUCGCCUCCUAAAGUGUAACGGAGGCGCCCAAAGGUUCCCUCAGAAUGGUUGGAAAUCAUUCGUAGAGUGCAAAGGCAUAAGGGAGCUUGACUGCGAGACCUACAAGUCGAGCAGGGACGAAAGUCGGGCUUAGUGAUCCGGUGGUUCCGCAUGGAAGGGCCAUCGCUCAACGGAUAAAAGCUACCCCGGGGAUAACAGGCUUAUCUCCCCCAAGAGUCCACAUCGACGGGGAGGUUUGGCACCUCGAUGUCGGCUCAUCGCAUCCUGGGGCUGUAGUCGGUCCCAAGGGUUGGGCUGUUCGCCCAUUAAAGCGGUACGCGAGCUGGGUUCAGAACGUCGUGAGACAGUUCGGUCCCUAUCCGUCGUGGGCGUAGGAAAUUUGAGAGGAGCUGUCCUUAGUACGAGAGGACCGGGAUGGACGCACCGCUGGUGUACCAGUUGUUCUGCCAAGGGCAUAGCUGGGUAGCUAUGUGCGGAAGGGAUAAGUGCUGAAAGCAUCUAAGCAUGAAGCCCCCCUCAAGAUGAGAUUUCCCAUAGCGUAAGCUAGUAAGAUCCCUGAAAGAUGAUCAGGUUGAUAGGUUCGAGGUGGAAGCAUGGUGACAUGUGGAGCUGACGAAUACUAAUAGAUCGAGGACUUAACCAU
Molecule: ribosomal RNA, 2390 nt
Filed under: Bacillus cereus BAG1O-1
Lineage: Bacteria; Bacillati; Bacillota; Bacilli; Caryophanales; Bacillaceae
Description: bacterial LSU rRNA
Rfam family: Bacterial large subunit ribosomal RNA
Source: RNAcentral